RNAcentral lists this ribosomal RNA (423 nucleotides) under uncultured bacterium. RNAcentral's name for it is "bacterial SSU rRNA". It matches the Rfam family "Bacterial small subunit ribosomal RNA", at positions 356 to 773 of the family's 1533-position model. The record is from RNAcentral.
GGGGAAUUUUGGGCAAUGGGCGAAAGCCUGACCCAGCAACGCCGCGUGAGGGAGGAAAUCCUUCGGGAUGUAAACCUCGCAAGCAGGGGAAGAAAGCACGAGGAUGAAUAAGACUCGUGUUCGACGGUACCCUGCGUAAGCCACGGCUAACUCCGUGCCAGCAGCCGCGGUAAUACGGAGGGGGCUAGCGUUGUUCGGAAUUACUGGGCGUAAAGCGCACGUAGGCGGCUGUGUAAGUUAGAGGUGAAAGCCCGGGGCUCAACCCCGGAAUUGCCUUUAAGACUGCAUCGCUUGAAUCCAGGAGAGGUGAGUGGAAUUCCGAGUGUAGAGGUGAAAUUCGUAGAUAUUCGGAAGAACACCAGUGGCGAAGGCGGCUCACUGGACUGGUAUUGACGCUGAGGUGCGAAAGCGUGGGGAGCAAAC